This 473-nucleotide ribosomal RNA is filed under the name uncultured organism. Its description in RNAcentral is "partial 16S ribosomal RNA". It matches the Rfam family "Bacterial small subunit ribosomal RNA", at positions 334 to 798 of the family's 1533-position model. The record is from RNAcentral.
CACUCCUACGGGAGGCAGCAGUGGGGAAUAUUGCACAAUGGGCGCAAGCCUGAUGCAGCCAUGCCGCGUGUAUGAAGAAGGCCUUCGGGUUGUAAAGUACUUUCAGCGGGGAGGAAGGCGAUAAGGUUAAUAACCUUGUUGAUUGACGUUACCCGCAGAAGAAGCACCGGCUAACUCCGUGCCAGCAGCCGCGGUAAUACGGAGGGUGCAAGCGUUAAUCGGAAUUACUGGGCGUAAAGCGCACGCAGGCGGUCUGUCAAGUCGGAUGUGAAAUCCCCGGGCUCAACCUGGGAACUGCAUUCGAAACUGGCAGGCUAGAGUCUUGUAGAGGGGGGUAGAAUUCCAGGUGUAGCGGUGAAAUGCGUAGAGAUCUGGAGGAAUACCGGUGGCGAAGGCGGCCCCCUGGACAAAGACUGACGCUCAGGUGCGAAAGCGUGGGGAGCAAACAGGAUUAGAAACCCUGGUAGUCCCAU